AGAUUGAACGCUGGCGGCAGGCCUAACACAUGCAAGUCGAGCGGUAGAGAGGUGCUUGCAUCUCUUGAGAGCGGCGGACGGGUGAGUAAUGCCUAGGAAUCUGCCUAGUGGUGGGGGAUAACGUUCGGAAACGGACGCUAAUACCGCAUACGUCCUACGGGAGAAAGCGGGGGACCUUCGGGCCUCGCGCCAUUAGAUGAGCCUAGGUCGGAUUAGCUAGUUGGUGAGGUAAUGGCUCACCAAGGCGACGAUCCGUAACUGGUCUGAGAGGAUGAUCAGUCACACUAGGAACUGAGACACGGUCCAGACUCCGUACGGGAGGCAGCAGGUAGGGAAUAGUUAGGAACAAGUGGGACGAAAGGCCUAGACUACCAGCCAGUCGCCG
This 385-nucleotide ribosomal RNA is filed under the name uncultured soil bacterium. Its description in RNAcentral is "bacterial SSU rRNA". It matches the Rfam family "Bacterial small subunit ribosomal RNA", at positions 26 to 399 of the family's 1533-position model. The record is from RNAcentral.